CCCUUAGAUGUUCUGGGCAGCACGCGCGCUACAAUGGUCUUCGCAAACGGAUGCAUUCUCGAAGGAGAAUGCCAAUCUUGGAAUCUAUGCCUUGGUCGGGACAGUUGCUUGCAAUUUUUCGACUCGAACCAGGAAUUCCUUGUAAUCGUGAUUCAUCACAUCACGAUGAUUACGUCCCUGCCCUUUGUACACACCGCCCGUCGCUGCCCGGAACUGAGCCGUUUCGAGAAGACUGAGGAUUGCUGACUUGAGGCCUUCACGGGCUUCUAGUCGGUGAAAAUCAAUUUAAUCGCAGCGGCUUGAACCGGGCAAAAGUCGUAACA
Molecule: ribosomal RNA, 323 nt
Filed under: uncultured eukaryote
Lineage: Eukaryota
Description: partial 18S ribosomal RNA
Rfam family: Eukaryotic small subunit ribosomal RNA
Source: RNAcentral